CGGGAGGCAGCAGUGGGGAAUAUUGCACAAUGGGCGCAAGCCUGAUGCAGCCAUGCCGCGUGUGUGAAGAAGGCCUUCGGGUUGUAAAGCACUUUCAGUAGGGAGGAAGGUGGUAGUGUUAAUAGCGCUAUCAUUUGACGUUACCUACAGAAGAAGCACCGGCUAACUCCGUGCCAGCAGCCGCGGUAAUACGGAGGGUGCGAGCGUUAAUCGGAAUUACUGGGCGUAAAGCGCAUGCAGGUGGUUUGUUAAGUCAGAUGUGAAAGCCCCGGGCUCAACCUGGGAAUUGCAUUUGAAACUGGCAAACUAGAGUACUGUAGAGGGGGGUAGAAUUUCAGGUGUAGCGGUGAAAUGCGUAGAGAUCUGAAGGAAUACCGGUGGCGAAGGCGGCCCCCUGGACAGAUACUGACACUCAGAUGCGAAAGCGUGGGGAGCAAACAGGAUUAGAUACCCUGGUAGUCCACGCCGUAAACGAUGUCUACUUGGAGGUUGUGGCCUUGAGCCGUGGCUUUCGGAGCUAACGCGUUAAGUAGACCGCCUGGGGAGUACGGUCGCAAGAUUAAAACUCAAAUGAAUUGACGGGGGCCCGCACAAGCGGUGGAGCAUGUGGUUUAAUUCGAUGCAACGCGAAGAACCUUACCUACUCUUGACAU
This 653-nucleotide ribosomal RNA is filed under the name Vibrio parahaemolyticus. Its description in RNAcentral is "bacterial SSU rRNA". It matches the Rfam family "Bacterial small subunit ribosomal RNA", at positions 342 to 987 of the family's 1533-position model. The record is from RNAcentral. Lineage: Bacteria; Pseudomonadati; Pseudomonadota; Gammaproteobacteria; Vibrionales; Vibrionaceae.